This 234-nucleotide unclassified non-coding RNA is filed under the name uncultured fungus. RNAcentral's name for it is "sequence contains ITS1". The record is from RNAcentral. Lineage: Eukaryota; Fungi.
GUAUUGUAUUGCGUUAAACGCUGCAUACAUUCCAUGAGACUUUAUUACGGUGUGUGUGUAAAGACGUAGAACCGUGGACAAAGAGGACAGAGGCCCUCCAGGCCAUAGAACUACAGAGGGUGCACAGGUGUGAGUGGAUGUGUAAACAGAGCGUGCACAUGCCCCCAUUUGAGGACCAGCAACAACUCGUGUCGACAUUCGGUAAUGAUCCUUCCGCAGGUUCACCUACGGAAA